Molecule: long non-coding RNA, 7697 nt
Filed under: Capsicum annuum
Lineage: Eukaryota; Viridiplantae; Streptophyta; Magnoliopsida; Solanales; Solanaceae
Description: long non-coding RNA (CANN_LNC000477)
Source: RNAcentral
UUGAAUCAGUUUGCCAACAUGGUUUGGUCAAACUUUGCAUGACAUUGCUUAGGUGCUUGUUUUAGUCGAUAAAGUGACUUAACAAGUUUACACACCUUAUUUUAUUUUCCUGGAACCACAAAACCUUCAGGUUGUUCCAUGUAAAUUUCUUCCUCCAAUCUCCAUUUAGGAAUACGGUCUUCACAUUCAUUUGAUGGAUUUGAAGAUCAUAUACCGCCGCCAAGGUAAUUAAUAUUCGAAUCGAGGUUAUCCUUGUUACUGGCGAGUAUGUAUCAAAGUAAUCAAGGCCUUCUUUCUGUUUAAAGCCUUUUCCUACAAGUCUUGCCUUGUAUUUGUCAAUAGUACCAUCCACCUUCAUUUUCCUUUUGAAGCUCCAUUUAGAACCUAAAGGUUUAUUUUCGAGAGGAAAGUCAACCAAUUCCCAUGUAUGGUUGCUUAAGAUUGAAUCUAUCUCACCAUUGACUGCCUCUUUUCAAAAGAACGAGUCUGACAAUGACAUCGCUUUUUUAAAUAUUUGAGGCUCAUUUUCUAAGAGAAAUAUUACGAAAUCCGAUCCAAAUGAAAUUGACAUUCUUUGACGUGUACUCCGUCUUGGAUUUUCUUUAUUAUGUACAUUCUCACUUGGUUCAUCUCGAGGUCGUUUAGAUCCUCCACUACACUGUUCAUGUCUAAUUUUACACGGGUAAAUAUUUUCAAAGAAUUUAGCAUUGUUUGAUUCAAUUACCGUAUUUUCAUUAAUAUCCGGAUGUUCGGAUUUAUGAACCAAAAAUCGACAUGCUUUAUUACUUUUAGCAUAUCUUAUGAACAUGCAGGCCACCGUUUUAGGUCUUAUCUUAACCCUUUUAGGUAUACAAACUUAAACCUUUGCUAGACACCCCCACACUUUGAAAUAUUUCAAGUUGGGUUUCCUUCAUUUCCAUUUUUCGUAAGGAUUGAUUGUCUUACUCUGGGGAACUCUAUUAAGUAUACGAUUGGCCGUAAGGAUAGCCUCCCCCCAUAGGUUUUACAGUAAACCAGAACUUAUAAGUAAGGCAUUCAUUAUUUCCUUCAAAGUUAGGUUAUUCCUUACCGCAAUUCCAUUAGAUUGAGGUGAAUAUGGGGCCGUAGUUUGAUGGAUGAUUCCAUUCUCUACACAUAUUUGUGCAAAGGGAGAUUCAUAUUCUCCGCCCCUAUCACUUCUUAUCAUUUUGGUCUUUUUGUCUAACUGAUUUUCAACUUGAACCUUCGCUAGACACCCCCACACUUUGAAAUAUUUCAAGUUGGGUUUCCUUCCUUUCUAUUUUUCGUAAGGAAUUGAUUGUGUUUUACUAUGGGAAACUCUAUUAAGUAUACGAUUGGCCGUACGGAUAGCCUCCCCCAUAAGUUGUGCAUUAAACUAGAACUUAUAAGUAAGGCAUUCAUUAUUUCCUUCAAAGUUUAGUUUUUCCUUUAAGCAAUUCCAUUAGAUUGAGGUGAAUAUGAGGCCUUAGUUUGAUGGAUUAUUCUAUUCUCUACACAUAUUUGUGCAAAGGGAGAUUCAUAUUCUCCGCUCCUAUUACUUCUUAUCAUUUUGAUCUUUUUGUCUAACUGAUUUUCAACUUUAGUUUUAUUUUGCCUAAACGCAUCUAUUGCUUUAUCCUUACUAUUUAGCAAGUAGACAUAACAAUAUCUAGUGCAAUCGUCAGUAAAAGUUAUGAAAUACUUUUUCCCACCACGUGAUGGUGUUGACUUCAUAUCACAAAUGUUAGUGUGUAUUAAGUCUAAGGGAUUGAAAUUCCUUUCAACGGACUUAUAAGAAUGUUUUGCAUACUUUGAUUCCACACACGUUUGACACUUUGAUUUAUUGCACCCAAAGUUUGGCAAAACUUCUAAGUUAAUCAGUUUUCGUAACGUUUUGUAAUUAACAUGGCCUAAACGUUCAUACCAUAAAUCAUAAGACUCAAGCAAAUAAGAAGAAUUUGAACUUUUAUUUAUUUCAACAGUCAUUACAUUUAUCUUAUAAAGGCCUUCGGUCAGAUAGAUUUCUCCUUUGCUAAUUACAAUUUUUCCAAAAACGGUUACACAUUCGAAUCCGUUUUUAUCUAGGAGUGAAAUAUAAAUUAAAUUCCUACGUAACUUCGGAACAUACAACACAUUGUUUAGUGUCAAGACCUUGUCGGAAGUCAUCUUUAAGCAAAUUUUUUCUGUUCCCUCCACCUUAGCAGCAGCGGAGUUAGCCAUGUAGAUUAUUUCUUCUACUUAAGCUGGAGCAAAUGACGAAAACAACUCCUUGUUGGCACAUACAUGGCGGGUGGCAUCAGAAUCCAUUACCAUUUGCGAGGAUUCCCUACCAAGUUGCAUUCUGAGAAUAUAGCACACAAAUCAUCGCAUUCUUUGUUGGAUUUAAUCAUAUUUGCUGAAUCCUUUUUCUUGCCUUUCUUCAGGGCUCAACAAUCUGUGGACUUGUGGCCAAUUUUGCCACAAUUGAAGUAUUUUCCCUUAAACUUUUUCUUGGGUUGAUUGCUUCCAUGUUCAACUUGCUUUCUUUUCUUCGAAUUCUUUUGGUCAUCUUCUACAAUAUGUGCUUCAUUAAUUGUAGAAUUUCCCUUUGACCUUCUUUCGGCAGCUUUAUUGUCCUCUUCAAUACGGAGUUGGAUGAUAAGAUCUUCAAUGGUCAUCUCCUUGCGUUUAUGCUUUAAGUAGUUUUUGAAGUCUUUCCACAAUGGUGGUAGCUUCUCAACUAUCGCUGCUACUUGGAAAGCAUCAUUCACAAUUAAACCUACAAAACAAUUUAUGUGAGUAUUAAGAAUAUUUUUAAUUUGUUCAACUACGGUAUUUUUCAAAAAUAUACCUUCUGCUAGGAGAUCAUAUAUGAUAACUUGCAACUCUUGUACUUGAGAGACAACAGAUUUGCUAUCUAUCAUUUUGAAAUCCAGGAACCGUGCAACAAGGAAUUUCUUAAUUCCCACAUCCUCCGUUUUAUAUUUCCGUUCAAGUGCCCCCCACAGUUCUUUUGAUGUCUUGGUUCCACUAUAGACAUUGUAGAGGUCGUCUUGGAGACCACUCAGAAUAUAAUUCCUGCAAAGGAAGUCCGAAUGUUUCCAAGCUUCUACAAUAAUGAAGCGAUCUUUGUCCGAGGUUCUCUCGGGCACCUCAGGAGCGUUUCGCUAGUGAACCAUUGCAGACAUAAAGUGGUGAGGUAAAACAACAUCUUUUGCUGUCACCGCUUGAAGUCAAUGCCUGAAAUUUUUUGGGCUUCUCCGCCGGUGCCAUCGUUGGCGGAGCAUUUGUGCGGCUUGAUGAAGCAAUAUUGUUUGCCCCCACAGUCGUAGCCACAUCAUGCAUUUGACAUUCAGUUGUCAUUUUUCCUAUCACCACAAGACAGAAAACUUAGUAUUUUUUCAGAAUACUAUUUAUAAAAUUAAAUAACUUGAAACUCUUUUUCUUGUUUCUAGUUAACGAUGAAGUUUUUAUUACUUCGAAUCGUCAACCGAGUGAACCUUAACUUGUGAUGAAGAUUUUAUGUCUUCUAAUCACUAGUUAAAUUCAAGCGGAGUAGAAAGCUUAAGCUUUAAUCUCCAAAAACAAGCAAUACAGAUUCUGUAGAUUAUUUCCUUAAGAUUGCUAUUUACACAAUAUAGUCGGCUAUGCAGAAUCUGUAUAGCAGAAAAACAACUUAAUCUAGUUCAAGUUUAUAAACAAGAACACAAUGAAGUAUAUCAAUACCCACAACACAAGAUCAAAAUGAUCUUUCCAAGAGGUGUAUUUAUUUUUCAUAAAUAAUAGAUGAAGUAGAAAUGAAUAAGGCCAAGUUUUCCGAAUUCACGGAGUUUUCUUAAGGAAAUAAUUCCCCUCACUGUACCCGAGGUUGUAAAUUUUUCCUCCCAGGAUAAAAUGGCCUUCAAUCCGACUAUAGCGGUACCUCAAAUAGACGAAUUCUACGAACGCAUUAAACGAUUUAAUGAUCACACAGAGUAUUUGAAGACAAGAAGAAUGUUUUGUAAUCUGAAAAUUUCUGUACCAAAACCUGUGGAUGAAACCAGGUUUAUAUAGACAUAAUAUGCCUCUUCAGAUAGGUGGCAUUGGUUCAAUUUAAAGGUAUGUGUCUUUUCUGAAAAUGCAUGUCUGUUUACUUAAAAUAGUGCAUCAUUUUGCUAAAACAGUACAUACCAGUUCGUGUGAAACAUUUGUCCUUUCAUUGAAACAUUGCAUCAGUUUGCUGAAACAAUGCAUCAGUUCACUGGAACAAUGCAUCUGUUUACGAAAACAGUGCAUAUGUUCAUCAAAAAUAGUGCAUCUGUUCGCAAAACAGUGCAACGAUUCAUGGAAAUAGUGUAUUUGUUCAUGGAACAAUUACAUCAGUUCAGUUCGAAGUUACUAUUACUGCGUGCAUGUCUAUAAAUUAGAGUAUCAAACACAGGAAAAAUAUUUACUGUGUUAUUCAUUUUACCCUUUGGCAUUUUUUUGAAUUUCAAAUAAAAUUUGUCCAAAAAGAUAGAUCUCAUCGAUCAAUCAUUUGACAAAUCCAAAUCCAAAUCCAAAUCCAAAGCCAAAGCCGAAGCCAAGCCGAGAGAGUGACAACGACGACGGCGCGAAGCAUCUCUAUUUUCUUCCCUCACUUAUCAUGUGGAGUAAGUGUCCAUUAAUAUAAACACUACAAAGUUCUCUUCUUCCACCAAUGUGGUAGAAAGAGUAAACUUUCCAAUUUGGAGUACACUUUGUAAAUUGAGUGUCUCCUUUCCUCCACCUUUUUCCACUCCAUUUUCCAUUCACACUUUCUUUAUUUACUAUGAACCCAACAGAUGGAUCAUCAAGGAGAAAUUUGGCCCUAGUUCAGCAAUUUUAUGUUAUUUCCCACAAUAUAGUUGGAUAUGCAGAAUCUGUAUAUUACAACACCAACUUCAAUUUAAGUUCAAGUAUAAAUAAGAACACAAUGAAGUAUAUUAAAUACCCUCAACAUAAGAUCAAAAUGACCUUUCCAAGAGGUGUAUUUUAUUUUGCAGAAAUUAAGAUAAAACAAAAAACAGUCAAGUCAUCCGAAUUCACGAAUUUUCCUUAAGGAAAUAAUCCCCCUCACUGUACCCGAGGUUGUGGAAUUUUUCCUCCCAGGAUAUAAUGGAUAACAGACUAACAGUAGCAGUACCUCAAAUGGUUGGAAUAUCUUCGAACUCACAGAAUGUUUUGAGUGAUCACACAAAAUAUUUUUGAGACAAGAAGAGAGUUUUUGAUCUGAAAUUUUUGUAUGCAAACCAGUGGAUGAAACCAGGUUUUUAUAGCCACAAGAUAUCUCUUCUGAAAAGUGGAAAAGGUUCAUCUAAAAGGUAUAACCUUUUCUGAAAAUUCAUGUCUAUUCGUCCAAAUAUUGUGACUGUUCUAACAGGCAUGCCAUUUCGUGAAUAAGUGUGUCAGUUCAUUGAAACAAUGCAUCAGUUCUGAAGCAGUGCAUCAGUUCAGUUUCGAAACUGUGCACCAUUUUAGUGUAAAAUUACAUCAGUUUGAAAAUCUAUCUGAAGCAUCUGUUCGAAAUAGCUUAUGCAUGCAUGCUUUCGUAAUGAAAUUAAAAUCAUAUAAAUGGAGUAUUAAACACAGAAAAUAUUUACUGCGUUACUAUUAGUAUUUUCAGAAUUCAACUAAACUUUUGUCCAAAAAAAUAGAUCUCAUCGAUCGAUUAUUUUCCAAAUCUAAAUCCAAAUCCGAAGCUGAGCCGAGCGAGCAACGACGACGACGGCGCGAGGCAUCUCUUAUUUCUUGCCUCACCAUGUGGAGUAAGUGUUCAUCAUUAUAAAUACUCCAAAGUUCCUUUUUCCCACCAAUGUGGGAGAAUUAGUGAACUUUCCAAUUUUAGGAGUACACUUUCCAAAUUGGUGUCUCCUCUUCUCUACCAUUUUUUUCUCCAUUUUCAUUUCACACUUCUAUGAAUCCAACAAUCCCCUACAUGAAUGGGGAAUGGUUAUUUUUCAUAAACUGUUAUGGAAAAGUAUGUGAUCAUUAAGUAAAGACUGAUUGCAUCUGGAUAAGUGGGUUUCCUUUUGAAAUUUCCGUAGUAAACAUGCAUCGGAUGCACUCGGUCAAUCGAUAGAUUUGAUAUCUUUGAACCAUCGAGCUUUAUUGUACACCCCAAUAAUACAUGUCACACAACCAGCCUUUUAACGUUUAUGGUUCUUAUGGUUUUGUUCUUUUCAGCCAUGAACAUGUCCUGGUUUCAUGAGAGCUUAGAGAAUAGGCCUUUACUAACAUUCUCCUUGAAACGGCUUCUACUUCACCCUCGCAUAGGUGAUUUCUAAAUGUUCAAUCCUGUAGAUUAAACUAUUUGGUCAAAUCUACCAAAUUUAGAUAAUCAUUAAAAGACUUUUCACCUUAAGUCUUAUCCUAGUUUACUGCACAUUGUCUACAUCAUGAGAAUGGGUUGGGUAAUUGACAAUGUUGAACCUGCCAGAAACAACUUUGUUUGAUCUCCUUGAACCUAGCUCUUGGGAUCUCCAGUCUGCUAGGUAGAGUUACCGCUAUGCUGACCUGUCCUAGGCCUUAAACCCAUUCCCUUGGAUGUCCUUUCUACUCCUUCUCUAGAUAGGCCUUUUGUAAGUAGAUCCGACACAUUAUCCUUUGACUUUACAUAGUCUAUAGUGAUAAUUCCACUAGAGAGGAGUUCUAUAAUUGUAUUAUGUCUCCAUCAUAUGUGAUGAGAUUUACCGUUGUGCAUCAUGCUCCCUGCCCUACCUAUUGCUGCUUGGCUAUCACAGCGUAUACAUACUGGUGCCAUUGGCUUGGGCCAAUACAAAAUAUCUUCCAAGAAAUUCUAGAGCCAUUCUGCUUCUUCACCGGCUUUAUCUAAUGCGGUAAAAUCAUAUUCCAUUGUAGAGCAAGCGAUACAAGUCUGUUUGGAUGAUUUCUAAGAAACUGCUCCUCCACCGAUAGUAAAUACAUAUCCACUUGUGGAUUUUACUUCAUUCGAUCUGGUGAUCCAAUUUGCAUCACUAUAUCCUUCACGUACCGCAGGAUAUUUAUUACAAUACAAAGAAUAAUCUUGAGUGUAUUUAAGAUACCCCAAAACUCUUUUCAAUACCAUCCAAUGAGUUUUGUUGGGAUUACUCGUGUACCGAAUCAAUUUACUGAUAGCGCAUGCUAUGUCUGGUCUUGUACAAUUCAUUAUAUUCAUUAAAUAUCCCAACACUCUUGCUUACUCCAAUUGCGAAUCACUUUCACCUUCAUUCUUUUGAAUUGCAAAGUUCAUAUCCAAUAGAGUCUUGGCAAUACCAAAUUCCAUAUACUUGAACUUGUCAAAUACUUUUUUGAUAUAAUGAGACUAUGACAAUGCUAAUCCUUGUGGAGUUCGAUGGAUUCUUAUACCUAAGAUCACAUCUGCAACUCCAAGGUCUUUCAUAUCAAACUUGCUCUCGAGCUUUCGUUUUGUUGCAUUUAUGUCAGAAAUGUCUCUACUGAUGAUCAACAUUUCAUCCACAUAUAAACAAACAAUGACUUGGUGAUUUGGUGUGUCUUUAAUAUAUACACAUUUAUCACAUUCAUUUAUCUUGAAUCCGUUUGCCAACAUAGUUUGGUCAAACUUUGUAUGCCAUUUCUUAGGUGCUUGUUUUAGUCCAUAAAGUGACUUAACAAGUUUACACACCUUAUUUUCUUUUCCUGGAACCACAAAACCCUCAGGUUGUUCCAUGUAUAUUUCUUCCUCCAAAUCUCCAUUUAGGAAUGCGGUCUUCAUAUCCAUUUGAUGGAUUUGAAGAUCA